This 436-nucleotide ribosomal RNA is filed under the name uncultured bacterium. RNAcentral's name for it is "bacterial SSU rRNA". It matches the Rfam family "Bacterial small subunit ribosomal RNA", at positions 958 to 1392 of the family's 1533-position model. The record is from RNAcentral.
AACGCGAAGAACCUUACCCACUUUUGCCAUCCCGGUAGAGGCCUUUAGAGAUAAGGGCUUCAUUUAGUUGGACCGGUGACAGGUGCUGCAUGGCUGUCGUCAGCUCGUGUCGUGAGAUGUUGGGUUAAGUCCCGCAACGAGCGCAACCCUCGUCUUAUGUUGCCAUCAGGUUAUGCUGGGCACUCAUAUGAGACUGCCGGUGAUAAGCCGGAGGAAGGUGGGGACGACGUCAAGUCAUCAUGGCCCUUACAGGUGGGGCUACAAACGUGCUACAAUGGGGGUGACAAUGGGCAGCUACACAGCAAUGUGAUGCUAAUCCCAAAAAGCUGUCUCAGUUCGGAUUGUCCUCUGCAACUCGAGGGCAUGAAGCUGGAAUCUCUAGUAAUCGCAUAUCAGCAUGUUGCGGUGAAUACGUUCCCGGGUCUUGUACACACCG